CGGGACGGGUGAGUAACGCGUGGAUAACCUGCCUCACACUGGGGGAUAACAGUUAGAAAUGGCUGCUAAUACCGCAUAAGCGCACAGUACCGCAUGGUACGGUGUGAAAAACCCAGGUGGUGUGAGAUGGAUCCGCGUCUGAUUAGCCAGUGGCGGGGUAACGGCCCACCAAAGCGACGAUCAGUAGCCGACCUGAGAGGGUGACCGGCCACAUUGGGACUGAGACACGGCCCAA
Molecule: ribosomal RNA, 235 nt
Filed under: uncultured bacterium
Lineage: Bacteria
Description: partial 16S ribosomal RNA
Rfam family: Bacterial small subunit ribosomal RNA
Source: RNAcentral